Molecule: ribosomal RNA, 351 nt
Filed under: uncultured bacterium
Lineage: Bacteria
Description: bacterial SSU rRNA
Rfam family: Bacterial small subunit ribosomal RNA
Source: RNAcentral
GGGCCCGCACAAGCGGUGGAGCAUGUGGUUUAAUUCGAUGAUACGCGAGGAACCUUACCAGGGCUUAAAUGUAGUCUGACAGGGGUGGAAACACCCCCUCCUUCGGGCAGAUUACAAGGUGCUGCAUGGUUGUCGUCAGCUCGUGCCGUGAGGUGUCAGGUUAAGUCCUAUAACGAGCGCAACCCCUGCCGUUAGUUGCCAGCAUGUAAUGAUGGGAACUCUAACGAAACUGCCAGUGCAAACUGUGAGGAAGGUGGGGAUGACGUCAAAUCAUCACGGCCCUUACGUCCUGGCUACACACGUGCUACAAUGGCCGGUACAGAGGGAAGCUACCCCGUAAGGGGAUGCGGA